Canis lupus familiaris (dog) is the source of this 1732-nucleotide long non-coding RNA. RefSeq lists it as uncharacterized. Lineage: Eukaryota; Metazoa; Chordata; Mammalia; Carnivora; Canidae. The transcript has 3 exons. The record is from RefSeq and is a predicted model, not a curated record.
AGCAAGCUCCAGGCCCAUCAGGGUUCAAUUCCACAACCCCAGAAUCAAGACCUGAGCCAAAAUCAAGAGUUGGACACUCAACUGACUGAGCCACCCAGGCAUCCCUGUUCUCUUUUGUUUUAAAUUGAAUGACUUUAUUACUUUUUUUCCUUAAUGUUGAAAUGAUACACACUGGUUAUUAAAGUAAUUUAAACAACACAGAAAAGGCUAAAGAAAAAAGUAAAACUCAGAGUAAGUUAUCCUUCAGAAACAUUUGCUCCUUCUCCACAUCCUCAUGGAUAGAGUGUAUGUCUUCACAUUUUGACCUUGGGUGUGGCCCAGUGACUUGCUUUGAGUUACAGAUGUGGAGUGAUCAAAGAUAUGAAAGGCAUUUGUAUAGUUGAAUUUUCACUCCUGCAUCUCUGCCAUCACCAUGAGAACGGGGCGGGGCUAGGCCACUGGGCAUGAGGAAGUGAUGGCCAUAGGGAGGAGAGCCACCUAGCCAAGCUGAGCCCAUAUUGACAAACCCCCAGCUAACCCUCAGAAACCCAAGUUCAAUAAAUACUUAUCCUGGAAUGAAAUAUUGUGCUUUGUUACCCAGGAAAAGGUAAGCAGGUCAACCCUAAAUCCCCUCUCAUAGAUAUAAGACUUUCUAUUUAGAUGAACUCUCUUCCAGAACUUCCUGAGUGCACAUAAAUAUAUGUUAGUACACAAUUACAUUUACUGUUCCCUUUGCCUGAAACCUUGUUCCCCAGCAUCUUGUGACAGGCUGCUUCAUAAUAUUCAAGGUUCAUCUGAAGUUGGGUUUCUUUUCUUUUGCAGUUUCAUUUAUAAUUGACGUGUAGCACUGUGUAAAUGGAAGAUGUACUACAUGAUGAUUUGGUGCACAUAUAUACUGCAAAAUUAUGGGGACUAGGAUAGAGCAAAUUAACACAUUGCCCCAUAUAAUCACUAUUUUCUUUGGUGUGGUUAAAGAAAGUCUUGGUAGCUCACCCCUUGGGAGUGGUGAUGUGGUCAUCCUCUUUCAACGAGUCUGUUUUGCACACCCCUCUUACAUUGGGAGAGUUCAUUAAUGCUCAGAAUGUUGAAGUGGAGGGAAGAAACCCCAGCUGCUGAGAACCAAGAAAGUUGCUCAGCAUGUGUCAGAUGACCGCUGGCCAACCCCACUGCUGUAUCUGUCUCUACUGGAUGGGGACAAGGUCUUUCCAUAUGGCACAAGAGAGGUGAACCAGAGGUGAAUCGUCUUGUAUCACCUGCUAGAAGACAUCUGCUGGCCAUCGGGGAUGAAUGGGCAUCUUAAUGUCUCUCCUCUAUGUCAAUUCACCAUUGUUCCAUCCAGUACUUGACUGCACCGUAUUUUCCUUAGCAACUCUGAUACCAAGAUUCAGUUGGCAAAUGUGUUGUUUGGACUUUUAUUCUUGGUGGUUGUCAUGGCAAUGGUUUUUCCUAAUGUUCAUGUAGUUGAGUCCUUUCCUGAGAUUGGUAACCAGUGCAUGGUGUUCUGCUCCCUUGGGAUUGAUAACCAAUGCAUGCUGCUCUGUUAGAAAAUGCAUAUGUGGAUUAUUUAUUUUUGUCUUUAUAAACACAGUUGAAACAAACAUUCUUGUGUUUCCAUCUUUGCACAUUUUUCUGAAGUAUAACUGUUGGGUUAAAAUGUAUGUACAGAGAAGAUAUUUCUAAAACCAGAGAUAAUUAGACAAAUCACCAAAAAUUAGAAUUUUAUUUCAAAAGUAGUAAUUUCAUUAUUUUUUUA